This 334-nucleotide unclassified non-coding RNA is filed under the name soil metagenome. Its description in RNAcentral is "partial contains 5.8S ribosomal RNA, internal transcribed spacer 2, and large subunit ribosomal RNA". The stretch from base 1 to 120 matches the Rfam family "5.8S ribosomal RNA", at positions 35 to 154 of the family's 154-position model. The record is from RNAcentral.
GAUGAAGAACGUAGCGAAAUGCGAUAAGUAAUGUGAAUUGCAGAAUUCAGUGAAUCAUCGAAUCUUUGAACGCACAUUGCGCCCAUUAGCAUUCUAGUGGGCAUGCCUGUUCGAGCGUCAUUUCAACCCUUAAGCCCUGUUGCUUAGCGUUGGGAGCCUACAGUACUGUAGCUCCCCAAAGUUAGUGGCGGAGUCGGUUUCACACUCUAGACGUAGUAAUUUUUUCUCGUCUGUAGUUGAGCCGGUCCCCUGCCGUAAAACACCCAAUUUAUCAAGGUUGACCUCGGAUCAGGUAGGAAUACCCGCUGAACUUAAGCAUAUCAAUAGCGGAGGA